UCCAAUUGUAGAGUUAAACCUAGAUUCCUGG
RNAcentral lists this non-coding RNA (31 nucleotides) under Rattus norvegicus (Norway rat). The record is from RNAcentral. Lineage: Eukaryota; Metazoa; Chordata; Mammalia; Rodentia; Muridae.